UACGUAGGGUGCAAGCGUUAAUCGGAAUUACUGGGCGUAAAGCGUGCGCAGGCGGUUUUGUAAGUCUGUCGUGAAAUCCCCGGGCUUAACCUGGGAAUUGCGAUGGAGACUGCAAGGCUGGAAUCUGGCAGAGGGGGGUAGAAUUCCACGUGUAGCAGUGAAAUGCGUAGAGAUGUGGAGGAACACCGAUGGCGAAGGCAGCCCCCUGGGUCAAGAUUGACGCUCAUGCACGAAAGCGUGGGGAGCAAACAGG
RNAcentral lists this ribosomal RNA (253 nucleotides) under uncultured bacterium. RNAcentral describes it as "partial 16S ribosomal RNA". It matches the Rfam family "Bacterial small subunit ribosomal RNA", at positions 524 to 776 of the family's 1533-position model. The record is from RNAcentral.